UCAAUAGAUUGGGAGCUCUUUAACAAGACUUUACAGAAUUCCCUAGUCCAGUGGUUGAUAGGAAAUAAUGAAAAUGGUAGACUAAUACCCUGGUGGUCUCAUUUCAGCUGGUUUUUAUACCUUGACGGUUCAAGGUUUAUUACUUUGGUGCCUACUGGUAUCAGGUUUAUUACUUUGGUGCCUACUGGCAUCGAUAUGUCUUUAUUAGCUACUGUUUUUCCUUCUUUGUACUGGUGUAUGUUUGCAGUACUUGGUUUAUGCAUC
This 264-nucleotide long non-coding RNA is filed under the name Brassica napus (rape). Its description in RNAcentral is "long non-coding RNA (BNAP_LNC000809)". Lineage: Eukaryota; Viridiplantae; Streptophyta; Magnoliopsida; Brassicales; Brassicaceae. The record is from RNAcentral.